This 163-nucleotide ribosomal RNA is filed under the name uncultured bacterium. RNAcentral describes it as "partial 16S rRNA". It matches the Rfam family "Bacterial small subunit ribosomal RNA", at positions 355 to 511 of the family's 1533-position model. The record is from RNAcentral.
UAGGGAAUCUUCCACAAUGGACGAAAGUCUGAUGGAGCAACGCCGCGUGAGUGAAGAAGGGUUUCGGCUCGUAAAACUCUGUUGUUAAAGAAGAAAUAUCUGAGAGUAACUGUUCAGGUAUUGACGGUAUUUAACCAGAAAGCCACGGCUAACUACGUGCCAG